RNAcentral lists this ribosomal RNA (377 nucleotides) under uncultured eukaryote. RNAcentral describes it as "partial 18S ribosomal RNA". It matches the Rfam family "Eukaryotic small subunit ribosomal RNA", at positions 592 to 976 of the family's 1831-position model. The record is from RNAcentral.
CAAUAGCGUAUAUUUAAGUUGCUGCAGUUAAAAAGCUCGUGGUUGGAUUUCGGGUGGGAAUGGCCGGUCCGCCGUUUCGGUGUGCACUUGCUACGCCCACCUUGCUGCCGGGGACGUGCUCUUGAGUUCACGCUCGGGACACGGAGUCGGCGAGGUUACUUUGAGUAAAUUAGAGUGUUCAAAGCAGGCCUACGCUCUGAAUACAUUAGCAUGGAAUAACACGAUAGGACUCUGGCCUAUCUUGUUGGUCUGUAGGACCGGAGUAAUGAUUAAGAGGGACAGUCGGGGGCAUUCGUAUUUCAUUGUCAGAGGUGAAAUUCUUGGAUUUAUGAAAGACGAACUACUGCGAAAGCAUUUGCCAAGGAUGUUUUCAUUAA